CUGUGUCAGCUACCCCUGUCAGAAUGGAGGGUCCUGUUCCAACAUCCACAGCCUCUCGGACUUCACCUGCCACUGUAUGCCAGGAUAUAGGGGCCGAUAUUGUGA
Molecule: long non-coding RNA, 105 nt
Organism: Haliotis rubra (blacklip abalone)
Lineage: Eukaryota; Metazoa; Mollusca; Gastropoda; Lepetellida; Haliotidae
Exons: 3
Source: RefSeq, a predicted model, not a curated record